RNAcentral lists this non-coding RNA (26 nucleotides) under Gallus gallus (chicken). The record is from RNAcentral. RNAcentral also lists the same sequence under 7 other names. Lineage: Eukaryota; Metazoa; Chordata; Aves; Galliformes; Phasianidae.
GUUUCGUACGUAGCAGAGCAGCUCCC